Molecule: ribosomal RNA, 625 nt
Filed under: uncultured bacterium
Lineage: Bacteria
Description: bacterial SSU rRNA
Rfam family: Bacterial small subunit ribosomal RNA
Source: RNAcentral
CGGAGAUUAUACGCAGAGGCGAUUUCGGUCAAUUCAUGUAAAAUCUUAGUGGCGGACGGGUGAGUAACGCGUGGGUAACCUGCCUUACACUGGGGGAUAACACUUAGAAAUAGGUGCUAAUACCGCAUAAGCGCACGAAGCCGCAUGGAUUUGUGUGAAAAACUCCGGUGGUGUAAGAUGGACCCGCGUCUGAUUAGCUUGUUGGCGGGGUAACGGCCCACCAAGGCGACGAUCAGUAGCCGGCCUGAGAGGGUGGACGGCCACAUUGGGACUGAGACACGGCCCAAACUCCUACGGGAGGCAGCAGUGGGGGAUAUUGGACAAUGGGGGGAACCCUGAUCCAGCGACGCCGCGUGAGUGAAGAAGUAUUUCGGUAUGUAAAGCUCUGUCUUCAGGGAAGAAAGAAAUGACGGUACCUGACCAAGAAGCCCCGGCUAACUACGUGCCAGCAGCCGCGGUAAUACGUAGGGGGCAAGCGUUAUCCGGAAUUACUGGGUGUAAAGGGAGCGUAGACGGUUAAGUAAGUCUGGAGUGAAAGGCCGGGGCCCAACCCCGGGACUGCUCCCCCAACCAUUCAACUUGAGUGCAGGAGAGGUAAGCGGAAUUCCUAGUGUAGCGGUGAAAU